Molecule: non-coding RNA, 71 nt
Organism: Bos taurus (domestic cattle)
Lineage: Eukaryota; Metazoa; Chordata; Mammalia; Artiodactyla; Bovidae
Source: Rfam
CCCCUGGUGGUCUAGUGGUUAGGACUCAGCCCUUUUACUGCUGUGGGCAGGGUUCAAUCCCUGGUUGGGGA